GGUUCGUUGUUAUACAUAUCACACUUCUUCGUUACACUUUCUUCUUCUAUCUCUCACAACGAAGCGAAUCACCAUUCUCUCUAUCUCUCAGGUUCGAUUUUCUCUUCACUUUUUCCUCUCUCCAAUUCAUUCCUCGCAAAUUCUCUCUCUAUCUUCUUCCCAAACAAAUCGGGUUUUAUUCUUUUUCUUUGCAGUUUCUUCAACUUCGAUUUGUUUCAGAUCUAUACUAUUUUUGAUUUUUUUCAACUCUUUCUCUGUUUAUUAGAUUCCUCUUCUUUUCCAUUCGAUUUCUGUAACCACCGUUCAAAACGAUGUAGUUUUGUUGACUUACUAUUUAUAUUCCCGAUGUGA
Non-coding RNA from Vicia faba (fava bean), 351 nucleotides. The record is from the annotation of a GenBank genome assembly. Lineage: Eukaryota; Viridiplantae; Streptophyta; Magnoliopsida; Fabales; Fabaceae.